Molecule: ribosomal RNA, 287 nt
Filed under: Staphylococcus epidermidis Scl19
Lineage: Bacteria; Bacillati; Bacillota; Bacilli; Caryophanales; Staphylococcaceae
Description: partial 16S ribosomal RNA
Rfam family: Bacterial small subunit ribosomal RNA
Source: RNAcentral
UCAAUAGUGAAAGACGGUUUUGCUGUCACUUAUAGAUGGAUCCGCGCCGCAUUAGCUAGUUGGUAAGGUAACGGCUUACCAAGGCAACGAUGCGUAGCCGACCUGAGAGGGUGAUCGGCCACACUGGAACUGAGACACGGUCCAGACUCCUACGGGAGGCAGCAGUAGGGAAUCUUCCGCAAUGGGCGAAAGCCUGACGGAGCAACGCCGCGUGAGUGAUGAAGGUCUUCGGAUCGUAAAACUCUGUUAUUAGGGAAGAACAAAUGUGUAAGUAACUAUGCACGUCU